Molecule: ribosomal RNA, 451 nt
Filed under: uncultured bacterium
Lineage: Bacteria
Description: partial 16S ribosomal RNA
Rfam family: Bacterial small subunit ribosomal RNA
Source: RNAcentral
GUGGGGAAUAUUGCGCAAUGGGGGAAACCCUGACGCAGCGACGCCGUGUGAGGGAAGAAGGCUUUCGGGUCGUAAACCUCUGUCAGAAAGGAAGAACCUCCCAAGUCCGAAUAGGGCUUGGGACUGACGGUACUUUCAAAGGAAGCACCGGCUAACUCCGUGCCAGCAGCCGCGGUAAUACGGAGGGUGCAAGCGUUAAUCGGAAUCACUGGGCGUAAAGCGCGCGUAGGCCGCGUUGUAAGUCGGACGUGAAAGCCCUCGGCUCAACCGGGGAACUGCGUUCGAUGCUGAGAGGCUUGAGUCCUGGAGAGGGUGGCGGAAUUCCGGGUGUAGGAGUGAAAUCCGUAGAUAUCCGGAGGAACACCGGUGGCGAAGGCGGCCACCUGGACAGGUACUGACGCUGAGGCGCGAAAGCGUGGGGAGCAAACAGGAUUAGAAACCCGUGUAGUCC